Molecule: ribosomal RNA, 490 nt
Filed under: uncultured bacterium
Lineage: Bacteria
Description: partial 16S ribosomal RNA
Rfam family: Bacterial small subunit ribosomal RNA
Source: RNAcentral
AUUGAACGCUGGCGGCAGGCCUAACACAUGCAAGUCGAACGGUAACAGGAAGAAGCUUGCUUCUUUGCUGACGAGUGGCGGACGGGUGAGUAAUGUCUGGGAAACUGCCUGAUGGAGGGGGAUAACUACUGGAAACGGUAGCUAAUACCGCAUAACGUCGCAAGACCAAAGAGGGGGACCUUCGGGCCUCUUGCCAUCGGAUGUGCCCAGAUGGGAUUAGCUAGUAGGUGGGGUAACGGCUCACCUAGGCGACGAUCCCUAGCUGGUCUGAGAGGAUGACCAGCCACACUGGAACUGAGACACGGUCCAGACUCCUACGGGAGGCAGCAGUGGGGAAUAUUGCACAAUGGGCGCUAGCCUGAUGCAGCCAUGCCGCGUGUAUGAAGAAGGCCUUCGGGUUGUAAAGUACUUUCAGCGGGGAGGAAGGGAGUAAAGUUAAUACCUUUGCUCAUUGACGUUACCCGCAGAAGAAGCACCGGCUAACUCCGUG